CCCUUUGGGUGUGACUGCGUACCUUUUGUAUAAUGGGUCAGCGACUUAUAUUCUGUAGCAAGGUUAACCGAAUAGGGGAGCCGGAGGGAAACCGAGUCUUAAUUGGGCGUUAAGUUGCAGGGUAUAGACCCGAAACCCGGUGAUCUAGCCAUGGGCAGGUUGAAGGUUGGGUAACACUAACUGGAGGACCGAACCGACUAAUGUUGAAAAAUUAGCGGAUGACCUGUGGCUGGGGGUGAAAGGCCAAUCAAACCGGGAGAUAGCUGGUUCUCCCCGAAAGCUAUUUAGGUAGCGCCUCGUGAAUUCAUCUCCGGGGGUAGAGCACUGUUUCGGCUAGGGGGCCAUCCCGGCUUACCAACCCGAUGCAAACUGCGAAUACCGGAGAAUGUUAUCACGGGAGACACACGGCGGGUGCUAACGUCCGUCGUGAAGAGGGAAACAACCCAGACCGCCAGCUAAGGUCCCAAAGUCAUGGUUAAGUGGGAAACGAUGUGGGAAGGCCCAGACAGCCAGGAUGUUGGCUUAGAAGCAGCCAUCAUUUAAAGAAAGCGUAAUAGCUCACUGGUCGAGUCGGCCUGCGCGGAAGAUGUAACGGGGCUAAACCAUGCACCGAAGCUGCGGCAGCGACACUGUGUGUUGUUGGGUA
RNAcentral lists this ribosomal RNA (646 nucleotides) under Salmonella enterica. RNAcentral describes it as "partial 23S ribosomal RNA". It matches the Rfam family "Bacterial large subunit ribosomal RNA", at positions 582 to 1230 of the family's 2925-position model. Lineage: Bacteria; Pseudomonadati; Pseudomonadota; Gammaproteobacteria; Enterobacterales; Enterobacteriaceae. The record is from RNAcentral. RNAcentral also lists the same sequence under 1 other name.